Molecule: ribosomal RNA, 850 nt
Filed under: uncultured archaeon
Lineage: Archaea
Description: bacterial SSU rRNA
Rfam family: Archaeal small subunit ribosomal RNA
Source: RNAcentral
CCUAAAAUUCCCAUGGCGAACUGCUUAGUAACACAUGAUCAACUUACCCUAUGGAGAAAAAUAACCUCGGGAAACUGAGGAUAAUGUUUCAUAGUUGAAUAGGCUUGGAAAAGUUUUUCAAUGAAUGGGAUAAGGAAAAUGGUUCUUAUCUGCCAUAGGAUAGGAUCGUGGUCGAUUAUGGUUGUUGGUGAGGUAACGGCUCACCAAGCCGAUAAUCGAUAGGGGCCGUGAGAGCGGGAGCCCCAAGAUGGGUACUGAGACAACGACCCAGGCCUUACGAGGCGCAGCAGGUGCGAGACCUCCGCAAUACACGAAAGUGUGACGGGGUUACCCAAAGUGUUCUCUUUUGAACUGUGGUAGGUGAGUAAUGUCCCCUACUAGAAAGGAGAGGGCAAGGCUGGUGCCAGCCGCCGCGGUAAAACCAGCUCUUCAAGUGGUCGGGAUAAUUAUUGGGCUUAAAGUGUCCGUAGCCGGUUUAGUAAGUUCCUGGUAAAAUCGGAUAGCUUAACUAUCCGCAUGCUAGGAAUACUGCUAUACUAGAGGGCGGGAGAGGUCUGAGGUACUAUAGGGGUAGGGGUGAAAUCUUAUAAUCCUUGUAGGACCACCAGUGGCGAAGGCGUCAGACUGGAACGCGCCUGACGGUGAGGGACGAAAGCCAGGGGAGCGAACCGGAUUAGAUACCCGGGUAGUCCUGGCCGUAAACGAUGCAUACUAGGUGAUGGUACGGCCGUGAGCCGUAUCAGUGCCGUAGGGAAACCGUUAAGUGUGCCGCCUGGGAAGUACGGUCGCAAGGCUAAAACUUAAAGGAAUUGGCGGGGGAGCACCACAAGGGGUGAAGCCUGCGGUUCAA